GACGAACGCUGGCGGCGUGCCUAAUACAUGCAAGUAGAACGCACAGUUAUACCGUAGCUUGCUACACCAUAGACUGUGAGUUGCGAACGGGUGAGUAACGCGUAGGUAACCUGCCCGGUAGCGGGGGAUAACUAUUGGAAACGAUAGCUAAUACCGCAUAAUAUUGAUUAUUGCAUGAUAAUUAAUUGAAAGGUGCAAUUGCACCACCACCAGAUGGACCUGCGUUGUAUUAGCCAGUAGGUGAGGUAACGGCUCACCUAGGCGACGAUACAUAGCCGACCUGAGAGGGUGAUCGGCCACACUGGGACUGAGACACGGCCCAGACUCCUACGGGAGGCAGCAGUAGGGAAUCUUCGGCAAUGGACGAAAGUCUGACCGAGCAACGCCGCGUGAGUGAAGAAGGUUUUCGGAUCGUAAAGCUCUGUUGUAAGAGAAGAACGGGUGUGAGAGUGGAAAGUUCACACUGUGACGGUAUCUUACCAGAAAGGGACGGCUAACUACGUG
RNAcentral lists this ribosomal RNA (504 nucleotides) under uncultured bacterium. Its description in RNAcentral is "partial 16S ribosomal RNA". It matches the Rfam family "Bacterial small subunit ribosomal RNA", at positions 28 to 507 of the family's 1533-position model. The record is from RNAcentral.